This 493-nucleotide ribosomal RNA is filed under the name uncultured bacterium. Its description in RNAcentral is "partial 16S ribosomal RNA". It matches the Rfam family "Bacterial small subunit ribosomal RNA", at positions 28 to 506 of the family's 1533-position model. The record is from RNAcentral.
GACGAACGCUGGCGGCGUGCUUAACACAUGCAAGUCGAACGGUGAAGCGCCUUCCUUUUUGGUGGGUGUGGAUGAGUGGCGAACGGGUGAGUAACACGUGAGUAACCUGCCCCCUUCUUCUGGAUAACCGCAUGAAAGUGUGGCUAAUACGGGAUAUUCUGGGUCUGUCGCAUGAUGGGUUUGGGAAAGAUAUUGUUUCGGUGGUGGAUGGGCUCGCGGCGUAUCAGCUUGUUGGUGGGGUGAUGGCCUACCAAGGCGGUGACGGGUAGCCGGCCUGAGAGGGUGGACAGUCACACUGGGACUGAGACCCGACCCAGACUCCUACGGGAAGCAGCAGUGGGUAAUAGUGCACAAUGGGCGCAAGCCUGAUGCAGCGACGCCGCGUGAGGGAUGGAGGCCUUCGGGUUGUGAACCUCUUUCGCCAGAGAAGCAGGCCUGCCUCGUUUGUGGGUGGGUUGACGGUAGCUGGAUAAGAAGCGCCGGCUAACUACGU